UUACUAAAAUAACGUACUAAAAACAACACGACUAGAAAAGGAAAACCUAAUUUCUCUCCUUUGUUUCAUAUUGUUUAGCUUUUCUCGAUCCUCUUCCCCAAUCUCUCUUAUUUGUCUUCUUUAAUUAGAUCCUUGUUUCUGGUUCUUCUUUAAUUUUCUUCAUUGUUUCUCUCCGACGUUCAAUUCCUCGAUUCAGUUCACCUGAGAAUACACGUUGUGGAUCUGCUAAUCCCCGUUGAAAAUUCGGAGACAUUUGUGGUCAGCGGCGGAGGUUAAGAGAGAGAAGGAGUGCUAAGAAAGUUGAAGGUUCGUCAACUCCGGCGAAUCGACGAGAUCCGUACGAGGUUCUUUGUGUAUCAAAAGACGCUAACGAUCAGAUCUGUGGGUAAUCGUGGUGGAGAGCAUGACUUUUUGGCUUGUUUUCGGCGGAGGAUUUGGCUGGACUUAGUGUCUUGCUUAGUGAUUGGCGAUGGUCGCUGGGUCUCUUGAUUUAUGGCUCCUUUAAACGUGUCAAGGGUUGAGAGAUGAAGUUAAAGAUGUGGCUAUUUGACUGACUCUGAUUUGUGUUUAGAUCUAUGUUUUUCGUUACUAUGACCAAAGUUGAGAUGCUUUAAGGACCUGCAAGUAUAUGACUCUUGUUGUAGCAGCGACAGCGUGACAUUGAGUUCAAGAGAAUCUGCUAAUGAGCUGAGAUAGAGUUCUUCAAGAAAAUAUCAAGAAAGAGGAUGUUGUAAAAGAGCAGUUGUCUUGCGACUUCAAGGCAAAUCACAACACUCCACUUAGCAUCUGAAGAACACAAGGAGAACCCACAAGUUGGUUGUUUUCAGAAGCUACAAAAGGUCUUGAAGAACUAAGGCAUUAAACCUCAAACAAAGAUGAUGAAGUGAUCGUUGAGCAAGAACCUAAAAGAGAGAGCUGAAGAGAUCAGAGAAGAGUAGUUAAUGUUUUUGUAUACAUUGAAAAAUAAAUUUUUAUUUAAAUUAUAAAGAUUUUUGUUUAUA
Camelina sativa (false flax) is the source of this 1001-nucleotide long non-coding RNA. RefSeq lists it as uncharacterized. Lineage: Eukaryota; Viridiplantae; Streptophyta; Magnoliopsida; Brassicales; Brassicaceae. The record is from RefSeq and is a predicted model, not a curated record.